CGUAUUCGUGUGUAUUCCGUCUUUUUCUAGCGCCGGCCCACCACAUGAUUCCGUCUUCAUCCUCUUCUCUCUCCCGCACGCACUGCGGGAGUCACCGUCGCCGUCGGUGUCUUCGGCGGCGCCUCGAAUCUGUCCCGCCGGUGGCCGUCAUCGACCGCCGAAAGCUCCGCAUCUUCGUCCUCCUCGAGCGCCGCCGCUGGAGACUACACUGCGCUUGGUGGUUCUGGAGUAUUAGAUCUGAGAUUUCUGUGUGCUUUGUUCCCUUCUACGAGAAAGGAAAUAUCCCUCUUUGCCUUCUAACUGUGCUAUUUUUCUUGGCCCUACGCAGAGCACUAGAUUUCCCAUGAAGAUGCAGACUGAACUCUCCUGCGUAGGUGGUGAUCAAUUUGCCAGGAACAAGACCAUCUCCAUUGGUUCUGUUCGUCCAGUCUGUUUUAUUCCACAUCUGGUAUUGUUUUCUUUGGUUCUUUAGUUGUCAAGAUAUAUUAUGAUACGACAAUUUAUUUUAAUUCCUUGACCGGUAACCAUCUUUUGUGUCAUGUACAUUAUUAGCGCUUGCCGACACUAUGUAGUAGUUAAAAAAUGCUCUGUUAAUGUUACAUUCUUACUUGGAGAGUUGGUUAAUAGGAUGCACAGGGGUGUAGGCUUUUUUUGGUGCCUGGGUACAUUUCAUUCAUCCUUGGUUGUAACAUAUAUUGCAGUCAACUUUAUUUCAUAUUCUUGGUACAUUUGGACUAGGAAUUAUGUUCUUUAAACAUCCGAAACUACAUCCCUUGGCACAGUGGCACACAGUUACCAUUAGCUUUGAUGGUAUCUUGUUGCAUCCAACUAGUCUAUUAUAUUGAGACAGUUCAGUUCAGUUCAGUUCCAUAUAGGUGCAAAGUUAUAUGGUAAUAAUAUAUUAAUAACUAAAUUUGUAAGCACUGUAGGCAGGUCCAUAUGUGUAAAAUUGCAUCUGCAGCUAUCUUAUUGGUAACCUGGAAUGGACACCAUUUUACAUGCAUAUAUGCUAAAGUGAUGAAAAGGAUUAAUGUUCUCACUUGAGAAUGCUUGUAAUGUUCUGAGAAUAUUUCCCUUGUUGUCGACUUAGCAUACAUUAUAUAUCAUAAACUGAUUAUUAUGUUCUGAAUGCAUUUGAAGUGUCGUUUAACCUUAAUAAAUAUACACAUUUACUUGUAUAGGGUGUGGAGAAAAAAAUUUGAUAUCCUCCUCAAGACUGUCAAGGUCAUGCAGUCACUCCCAGCUAGUAAAGUCUCUAUUUUCAAUUGUAUUCAGUGUGGGCCUUCUAGAUUCUAGUACUGGAUUAUGCACAGCUGGUUAGUGGAAGACAUUUGGUACAGGGGGACGUGGAGUGAUGCCAACUUGGUGAAUUGUUCUCUCGAGGCUUUUGAAAUCGUGGCUAUUUAGUUGCUUAGUCCUUUUAUGGUGUAGCAUGGCUCUUGAUUCAUUAUUUGAAACUACAAAAAUGUGCUCAUUAUGAAGUUACAUUUCAUUGCUCUAUAUAGGAUAGCAAAAUGUUCGAAAAUUACCUAAAAUGUCCUGAUCAUGAGAUGGGCAAACUAAAAUGUGCCUUUCAUUUAGUUGAUAUUUCGACCUCUAUAUAGCAUAUUGAAAUGUCAGGUAUUUUGUCAAAAUACCAGUCUUGAUCACAAUGUGCGCAAUGCAUUUGGUCUUGAAUGAGACCCAUUCAGCUCUUAUGUUUUAUUUUUACCUCAACUCACUCAUAAUUUAUUCCAGUUUAUAGAUGCGAGUAUCUAUCAUGACAUAAGGAGACGUGAUACAUUUUGUCCACAGGACAUGACUUGCAAAUUUCAGUAUGGGACAUGACUUGCUAUUAAAUGAAAUGGUCCCAAUAAGUACUUAGUGUUGAGUUAUACAUAUGCAGAGUCGACCAAAGGAACCUUUUCAUAUUAUUUUCCAAAAUACUAACUACGUUCCAGGAUCCACUCAAGCAACAGAGGCUCUCCAUUGGAUCUGCUUGUUCAGGUCCGUUUCUCUCCCAACCAGGUAGUUGUUAGAUCUAGCACUAGCUUUUUUUUAACUUGUCGCGGCAACCAAAAGAGAUGUUUUGGAUAUCUAGUUUUAUUUUUUUAAAUGUACUUCUAUGCUUUACCGUCAUAGUGAUAGUGGAAUUGAGUUUCUGUGUUCAAGUAUCUAAAAUAGUUCUACAAUAGUUUACCCCAGCAGUGUCCUAAAAUAGUAGUCACCCAUAAAACCUUUUGAGAACUCCAUACUAUUGUGGGGUUACGAUUCAUUGUGAUUAAUAUUAACUUGCUGCUAGUUGCUAUGCAAAGUUAAGAUAUUAUAAUUCGAGGUUUAGUUUGGGUCCUGAUUGAAUUCAAAAUGAAAUGUCCUUGAUUAGUCAUCAUAAUCACAAGUCAAAAUGUAAGAUGGCUUGGUACAUUUCAGAUGCCAUAUGGACAUAUGGUGAUUAGAACUGUUACUUUAUGUUGUCGAAAUCAUAUUAGUCCCUUUGGUUGCAUAAUGUUCUCUUAUGUGUUCAAACGUUACCAGAAAACACAAAAUAGAUACUCAUCAUAUAUCCUAGACACUACACAUAUCAUUUAGCUGAUACUUUCUUUCUACUUUUAGGAUGCAAGUUAAACAAGCCUCGAGAUGAAUUGUUCCAUUAUUCAAUUUUAAAAUGAUGAAUUGGUCUCUCUCUUUCUGCUUAUGUUCGGGCUUGAAGAUUCUCGUGAAAGACCAUUUGAAGCUCUAAAGUCUGUUUUCAGCUUCGAAAAUUCUCAAGAUGAAUUGUUCCAUUAUUCAAUUUAAAAUCCAUAGAUGUUGGAAAUGAGUUUACUUGUACCAUUAAUGUGAGCUUGUAAAAAUGUUCCAACUGGACACUAGAACUUACCAAGCAAUAUGCAUCCCCAGUGCCAUAUUUUGGUUGCUAACGAAGGCAUCGUGGCAUUCACACAAGCGUCAAAAAGUUUGGUACAUUUUAGCGGAGAUAUGCGAGGGUGCAUCUGAACUCAACAUGCAUUUUGUGAAGUUGUUUUAGAAUUCAACUUAGAUUUGUGCAGAUGCCCUUAUAUUUGUGAUAAAUUUUGAUGGCGGCAGCAAAGAUCCACACGAAUGCCGCAACCAUUCAGAAAUUCAGGCAGCAGAUGCUGUAUGAGGUUUUUGGGUUGAAGGAUAACAAAGGUGUGCUGCCAUCCGUUUAGGUCCAGACAAUUGACGAUUAACAGUAAGCAGGCCUGCCCGACGCUAGGAGCAUUGUGGAGACGGCAAUCCUUUUGUACACGCUAGGAGAGCGCAUGAGUCAGACAAUUGACGAUUAGCAGUAAUCAGUGCGGCUGUGGUUAGCAGGCAUGCCGGACCUUAGCAGCUUUUGUGGAGACCGUAAACUUUCGUCUAUCUUGCCAGACAUGCCAUCCUGUGUUACAUGUUUGAAUUUAUAUGCUUAUACAUAGGAACAUGACAGUUCUGGCUAAAAUAUAUAAUUACACCCACCAUAUAUUAAUUUUUAAGAGUGAUAUGUAACUUAAAUUCAUAUAAAUGGUAAGGUUUGUGCAAGGCCUGUGUAACUUGAAGCCUUGGAUAUAAGAAGCAUAUCAAUGAUAUGAAUGCGACUUGGCUCUGUUGUG
This is a long non-coding RNA of Panicum virgatum (switchgrass), 3590 nucleotides long. RefSeq lists it as uncharacterized. The record is from RefSeq and is a predicted model, not a curated record. NCBI's taxonomy places the organism in Eukaryota, Viridiplantae, Streptophyta, Magnoliopsida, Poales, Poaceae. The transcript is spliced from 2 exons.